GUUGCCCUGUGAUACACUCUCGACGAGUCGAGUUGUUUGGGAAUGCAGCUCUAAAUGGGUGGUAAAUGCCAUCUAAAGCUAAAUAUUGGCGAGAGACCGAUAGCGAACAAGUACCGUGAGGGAAAGAUGAAAAGCACUUUGGAAAGAGAGUGAAACAGUACGUGAAAUUGUUGAAAGGGAAACGCUUNAAGUCAGUCGCACUGUUCGGGANUCAGCCUUGCUUCUGCUCGGUUUACUUCCUGUUCAGUGGGUCAACAUCAGUUUUGGUCGGAGGAGAAAGGCUUGGGGAAGGUAGCAGCACUUGUGCUGUGUNAUAGCCCCUUGUUGUAUACUUCGACUGGGACUGAGGACCGCAGCACGCCUUUGGCCGGGGUUCGCCCACGUACGUGCUUAGGAUGUUGGCAUAAUGGCUUUAAGCGACCCGUCUUGAAACACGGACCAAGGAGUCUAACAUGUGCGCAAGUGUUUGGGUGUUAAACUCNGACGCGAAAUGAAAGUGAAAAGUUGGGAACACUUUGUGUGUGCACCGACGCCCGGAGCUGACCUUCUGUGACGCAUCCGCGGUAGAGCGUAUAUGUUGGGACCCGAAAGAUGGUGAACUAUGCCUGAAUAGGGUGAAGCCAGAGGAAACUCUGGUGGAGGCUCGUAGCGAUUCUGACGUGCAAAUCGAUCGUCAAAUUUGGGUAUA
Molecule: ribosomal RNA, 688 nt
Filed under: Sebacinales sp. SEB5
Lineage: Eukaryota; Fungi; Basidiomycota; Agaricomycetes; Sebacinales
Description: eukaryotic LSU rRNA
Rfam family: Eukaryotic large subunit ribosomal RNA
Source: RNAcentral